Molecule: ribosomal RNA, 527 nt
Filed under: Nesolestes sp. BOLD:ACG0303
Lineage: Eukaryota; Metazoa; Arthropoda; Insecta; Odonata; Argiolestidae
Description: partial 16S ribosomal RNA
Rfam family: Bacterial large subunit ribosomal RNA
Source: RNAcentral
GUCUUCUCGUUUGUUGUGGGAGGUUGGGCCUGCCCGGUGAAUUGUUUUAACGGCCGCGGUAUUUUGACCGUGCAAAGGUAGCAUAAUCAUUAGUCUUUUAAUAGGGGACUGGAAUGAAGGGUUUGACGAAAUAAUGACUGUCUCAUUAAAAUUAAUUGAAUUUGACUUUUAAGUUAAAAGGCUUAAAUUUUGUUGGAAGACGAGAAGACCCUAUAGAGCUUUAUUUGUGGUUAUAUAAUCUUUAUUGUCUAUUUUCUUGUUUUAUGAUCACGUAUUUUGUUGGGGCGACAAGGAAAUAUGUAAAACUUUCAUUAUUUAUAUUACAUUUAUUUAUGAUUAUAUGAUCCGUUAUUAUCGAUUAUUAGAAUAAGUUACCUUAGGGAUAACAGCGUAAUCUUCUUUAGGAGUUCAAAUUUGCAAGAAGGCUUGCGACCUCGAUGUUGGAUUAAGAUAAUAGUUAGGUGCAGUAGCUUAAUUAAUAGGUCUGUUCGACCUUUAAAUUCUUACAUGAUCUGAGUUCAGACCGG